This 68-nucleotide transfer RNA is filed under the name Ixodes holocyclus (paralysis tick). Its description in RNAcentral is "tRNA-Ile". The record is from RNAcentral. Lineage: Eukaryota; Metazoa; Arthropoda; Arachnida; Ixodida; Ixodidae.
AAUAAAAUGCCUGAAUAAAGGGUUAUCUUGAUAGGAUAAAUUAUGUGUUAUUUAUUUCACUUUUAUUA